Molecule: long non-coding RNA, 1920 nt
Organism: Cryptomeria japonica (Japanese cedar)
Lineage: Eukaryota; Viridiplantae; Streptophyta; Pinopsida; Cupressales; Cupressaceae
Exons: 2
Source: RefSeq, a predicted model, not a curated record
GCAACGGCGUGCCUUCCGUGCGUUCCUAUUUCGAUGGGUUUUUAUAUUUAUUAAUUGUUUUUGGUUCGGUUCAUAAAUUGUAUAUACUUCAAUGGAGCUGGUUGAAUGGAUUACAAAUUUGAACUGCAGAAGAUCAUUUACAUUUAUAAGAGAAGUGAUUCGAGAUUGAAUUGCAUGCUGCCGUGUUCUACGCCAACCGAACUUAAAAACUAUGCUUGACAUUUAGGUUACAUGAAUAUGAAAUGUUGUCUGUGCCAAAGUAAGAGCUUUGGAAGAGGGUAUAAACAUUCAUCUAAGCAUAAUUGAAAGGGAAUUUUUAUCAGAUGUUGUUGUCACAAGUGCACUGCUAGACUUGUAUGUGAAAUGUGGAAGCUUAUACAAGGUGCGCAAACUGUUCAACAAAUUGUCUGAAAGAAAUUUGGUCUCACGGAAUGCAAUGAUUGCAGGGUAUGCACAACAUGGUGUUCUUGAAGAGGCUAUAAGGUUUUUCAAAGAAAUACCUCAACCAGAUGUCAUUUCAUGGACUCCAAUGGUUGCCAGUUAUGCACAACAUAGUAUUCUCGACGAGGCUUUAAAGGUUUUUUAAGGAAAUACCUUAAAGAAAUGUGGUUUCGUGGAAUGCGAUGAUGGCAGGAUUAGCCCAAAAUAGAUUUCUUGAAGAAGCUUUCUAUAUUUUCAAAGAUAUUCCUCAAAUAAAUGUGGUCUCGUGGAUUGCAAUGGUUGCAGAAUAUUCACAAAAUGGGUUUGUUGAAAAGCCCUUUGAAACUUUAAGGAAAUGCAACUGGCAGGUGUAAAGACAGAUUCCACAACCUUUGCGAGCGUUCUCCCAACCUGGGCCCAAAUGGGAACUUUAGAACAAGGAUAUGCACAAAGUGGGUUCUCUAAAAAAAGUCUUGGAGACACUUGAAAAAAUGCAAUUAGCGGGAUUAAAGGCAAACUCCAUAACCUUUGUCAGCAUCCUCCCAGCCUGUGCCAAAAUGGAGCUUUAGAGCAGGGUAUGGACAUCCAUGGAAGCAUAAUCGAAAGCAGGUUUUUGUCAGAUGUCAUAGUUGCAAGUGCCCUGCUUUAUAUGUAUUGAAAAUGUGGAAGCAUAUAGAAAGCACGUGAACUGUUUGACAAAAUGCCCCCAAAAAAACCGUAAUCUCAUGGAAUGCUAUGAUUGUAGGAUAUGCACAGAAUGGCUUUUGCAGGGAUGGUAUCAAACUCUUUCAACUAAUGAAGUACUCUGGAACAUACCCUGAGUAUAUAAGCCUUACUUCUAUUUUAUUUGCAUGUAGUCAUGUAGGUUUAGUGGAUGAGGGGUGCAAAUACAUCAAUGACGUGAGCUUCUCUUAUUGCAUUACACCUACAAACACUACUAUCAGAAAUAACGAUUUGCUCACAAUGUCAGAACUAUGCUAACACUAUGGAAGAAACAUUUGGUUAGCCCCGACUCGGUGGUGCAUCAUUUGCUUUCCUUUUUCUGCCACUAUAUUCUGCAUGCUUAUCUGCCAUUGAGCUGUCGAGUAAAAAGAUAUAGAGAAUGUGGUAUGGAACCAUCAAGAAAAUGAUUCCUUUGUAACUAUGAUUCUGUGAGUAUGAUGCAAGGAGAUGUUGAAUCUAAGUCAUGGACAUUAGAGACUUGUUAGUAGAAAAGAUGCAUAGCUAUUAGCGGAAGAGAUGCAUAGCUAUUAAUGCAUGUAGUGUCAUUGUUUAUCCUAUUGCUAUGGGCAUGACAAGUCGUGUAAUAGUCCAACAAGUAUGGUUUUUACACAUAUUUUUCAUACACAUUUAGACAAGAUUUAAUGACAACUAAUUUCAGAUGCCAAUAGGUUUUGUGAAGUUGCUCAUAUCUUUUGUAAGAAGUGGCUAUAAAUAUGACAUGCUCACCUCAAUGUGGACAAGGAAGAUUGUGAGGAAGAUUGUUUGUUUGCAGCCCAA